GCCAGGCACAGUGGCGCAUGCCUGUAAUCCCAGCAGCUCGGGAGGCUGAGACAGGAGGAUCGAAAGUUCAAAGACAGCCUCAGCAAUGGCAAGGUGCUAAGCAACUCAGUGAGACCCUGUCUCUA
This 125-nucleotide small RNA is filed under the name Marmota monax (woodchuck). The record is from RNAcentral. Lineage: Eukaryota; Metazoa; Chordata; Mammalia; Rodentia; Sciuridae.